AAGCCAUGCGAGUCGAGAGGUGUAAGACCUCGGCAUACUGCUCAGUAACACGUGGUUAACCUGCCCUAAGGUGGAGAAUACUCCCGGGAAACUGGGGUUAAUGCUCCAUAGUGGAUAUGUCCUGGAAUGGUAUAUCCUCGAAAGAUCCGUCGCCUUAGGAUGGGACUGCGUCCGAUUAGGUUGUUGGCGGGGUAACGGCCCACCAAGCCAUUGAUCGGUACGGGUUGUGGGAGCAAGAUCCCGGAGAUGGAUUCUGAGACAUGAAUCCAGGCCCUACGGGGCGCAGCAGGCGCGCAAACUUUACAAUGCGAGCAAUCGUGAUAAGGAAACCCUGAGUGCCUGUCGAUGCAGGCUGUUCAUAUAUCUAAAUCAUAUGUGAAGAAAGGGCAGGGCAAGACCGGUGCCAGCCGCCGCGGUAAUACCGGCUGCUCGAGUGAUGGCCACUAUUACUGGGUUUAAAGCGUCCGUAGCUUGACUGUUAGGUCCCUUGGGAAAUCUUCGCGCUUAACGUGAAGGCGUCUAAGAGAUACCGGCAGUCUUGGAACUGGGAGAGGUAAACCGUACUUCGGGGGUAGGAGUGAAAUCUUGUAAUCCUCGAGGGACGACCUAUGGCGAAGGCAGUUUACCAGAACAGCUUCGACAGUGAGGGACGAAAGCUGGGGGAGCAAACGGGAUUAGAUACCCCGGUAGUCCCAGCCGUAAACAAUGUGCGUUAGGUGUGUCGGUAACCACGCGUUACUGAUGCGCCGAAGAGAAAUCGUGAAACGCACCACCUGGGG
This 779-nucleotide ribosomal RNA is filed under the name uncultured bacterium. Its description in RNAcentral is "bacterial SSU rRNA". It matches the Rfam family "Archaeal small subunit ribosomal RNA", at positions 46 to 833 of the family's 1478-position model. The record is from RNAcentral.